GGAGUUAGCCGGUGCUUCUUCUGCGAGUAACGUCACAGAUGUAAGGUAUUAACUUACACCCUUUCCUCCUCGCUGAAAGUGCUUUACAACCCGAAGGCCUUCUUCACACACGCGGCAUGGCUGCAUCAGGGUUUCCCCCAUUGUGCAAUAUUCCCCACUGCUGCCUCCCGUAGGAGUCUGGGCCGUGUCUCAGUCCCAGUGUGGCUGAUCAUCCUCUCAGACCAGCUAGGGAUCGUCGCCUAGGUGAGCCUUUACCUCACCUACUAGCUAAUCCCACCUGGGCUUAUCCAUCAGCGCAAGGCCCGAAGGUCCCCUGCUUUCCCCCGUAGGGCGUAUGCGGUAUUAGCAGUCGUUUCCAACUGUUAUCCCCCACAAAUGGGCAAAUUCCCAGGAAUUACUCACCCGUCCGCCGCUCGUCAUCUUCAAAAGCAAGCUUUUGAAAUGUUACCGCUCGACUUGCAUGUGUUAGGCCUGCCGCCAGCGUUCAAUCUGAGCCAUAAUCAAACUCUGA
This 511-nucleotide ribosomal RNA is filed under the name uncultured bacterium. RNAcentral's name for it is "partial 16S ribosomal RNA". The record is from RNAcentral.